GAUGAACGCUGGCGGCGUGCCUAAUACAUGCAAGUCGAGCGAACAGACGAGGAGCUUGCUCCUCUGACGUUAGCGGCGGACGGGUGAGUAACACGUGGAUAACCUACCUAUAAGACUGGGAUAACUUCGGGAAACCGGAGCUAAUACCGGAUAAUAUAUUGAACCGCAUGGUUCAAUAGUUAAAGACGGUUUUGCUGUCACUUAUAGAUGGAUCCGUGCCGCAUUAGCUAGUUGGUAAGGUAACGGCUUACCAAGGCAACGAUGCGUAGCCGACCUGAGAGGGUGAUCGGCCACACUGGAACUGAGACACGGUCCAGACUCCUACGGGAGGAAGCAGUAGGGAAUCUUCCGCAAUGGGCGAAAACAUGACGGAACAACGCCGCGUGAGUGAUGAAGGUCUUCGGAUCGUAAAACUCUGUUAUUAGGGAAGAACAAAUGUGUAAGUAACUAUGCACAUCUUGACGGUACCUAAUCAGAAAGCCACGGCUAACUACGUG
This 497-nucleotide ribosomal RNA is filed under the name uncultured bacterium. RNAcentral's name for it is "partial 16S ribosomal RNA". It matches the Rfam family "Bacterial small subunit ribosomal RNA", at positions 28 to 507 of the family's 1533-position model. The record is from RNAcentral.